This 636-nucleotide long non-coding RNA is filed under the name Triticum aestivum (bread wheat). RNAcentral's name for it is "long non-coding RNA (TAES_LNC012730)". The record is from RNAcentral. Lineage: Eukaryota; Viridiplantae; Streptophyta; Magnoliopsida; Poales; Poaceae.
CAGAAUACUGCACAUUUAUUCCUCUCACGAAAGGAUAACAAUCACAAUAACAAUUAAAAUGACAUGCAGAUGCUGCAAGCUUCUCACUAAAGGUGUUUGUAUGGACAUCAUCUCCAGCUUAUUUACAGAUAUAUACAGAUACUGCAAGUGGAUUAAGCGGAGAAUAUCCCAAACGUUCCAUCAUCUUCCAUCAUCAAGACCAGACGCAACUCAGCGACUACAUCAACUAGCAGAAGACAUAAUACCCCUAGCACAAAGAUGUCACGGGACACCACACCCUAUAUGGUCUAUGCUAAUAGUAACAGCAGUUGCAAAUACAACACAAACUUACUUAUAGGCAGCAGUGCUAGCGCUAGGAUCAGCAUAGCCCUCAAGGACCUGGAACAGCUUGAUAUGACACUCCCUCGAGGACCUGGAACAGCUUGAUAUCAAGGACUUGGAACAGCUUGAUAUGACACUAAGAGCCUGUUCGGCAAUUCACCAGCUCCGCGAAAUACGGGAGCGCAUGGAGCGACACUUUGGGGACUCCAAGAAAAUGGCCUGCGGACCGCUCCGCUCCGGGACGAGGAAAGCGUGGAGCUGACUUGUUUGGUGAUGCUCUGGCCGCUCCAGAAGCGGAGAGCUGUCAAACAGGCU